AGGAGAGAGUAGGCGCAGGCGGUUGCAGAUCAGUCAUAGUUACUGAUUUGAGGAAAGUCCGGACUCCCGAAAGACCAAACUUGCUGGAUAACGUCCAGUGCGAGCGAUCGUGAGGAUAGUGCCACAGAAAGAUACCGCCAAUUAGUCAUUAGUCAUUAGUCAUUUGUGAAAUAACAAAGGACAAAGGACAAAGGACAAAUUUGGUAAGGGUGCAAAGGUGCGGUAAGAGCGCACCAGCAGUAUCGAGAGGUGCUGGCUCGGUAAACCCCGGUUGGGAGCAAGGCGAUAGGAACUACGGUUGGUCUUUUACCAGUUCCGCUGAAUGAGAGCCGCUUGAGGCGUUUGGUAACAAACGUCCCAGAUAGAUAACUGCCCUCGUAAGAGAACAGAACCCGGCUUAUGUCCUGCUCU
Molecule: RNase P RNA, 411 nt
Filed under: Nostoc sp. 'Lobaria pulmonaria (5183) cyanobiont'
Lineage: Bacteria; Bacillati; Cyanobacteriota; Cyanophyceae; Nostocales; Nostocaceae
Description: RNA component of RNaseP
Rfam family: Bacterial RNase P class A
About the family: Ribonuclease P (RNase P) is a ubiquitous endoribonuclease, found in archaea, bacteria and eukarya as well as chloroplasts and mitochondria. Its best characterised activity is the generation of mature 5'-ends of tRNAs by cleaving the 5'-leader elements of precursor-tRNAs. Cellular RNase Ps are ribonucleoproteins.
Source: RNAcentral